AUGGCAGUUUCCUAUGUUUCUAUGUUCCUAACCCCUGCUUUGAGCAACCUCUAUCUCGCAAUGCAUCUCUCUGUGGAGUCCCAGCAGGCCAGAAACAGGAGCUGUCUGGAUCUUCUGAUGGGCUACCAGGCAGAGCUGAAAUUCAUUUCCUUCCAAAAGCUCCUCUUUCCUGCCUACCUACUAUCUCUCUUCAUUAACAUCAUGACAUUCUUGCUGUUCUUGAUUUCUUUGGUGGCUGUUCCAAAAUGGGUCUUCUCGGACAUUCAGCUUGUAUCAUCUGGGCCAGGAGUUGUGAGACCCGGAGAGAAUCUCCAACUGGUUUGUAAAGUGACGGGUGUCUCCAUCUCUGAUGCAUCUUAUAGUUGGCACUGGAUCCGCCAGCCUCCAGGGAAAGCUCUAGAAUGGGUUGCAAGAAUAUACCCCUAUGAUGGCAGAAAGUAUUAUGCCCCUUCCCUGAAGAGCCGUGCAACCAUUUCUUCAGACACCUCCAAGAACGAGUUCUCUCUCCAGCUGAAUUCCCUGAUAGCUGCUGACUCGGCUGUGUAUUUCUGUGCCAGACACACAGUGAGGCAAGGUCCAUUGGAGCUCUGUAUAAAAAGAAGAACUUCAUCCUCAACGCUUGUUUUGACCACAAUUUCAGCCACCAAGUCGGAAAGCCCCUAUUAA
This is a non-coding RNA of Hemicordylus capensis (graceful crag lizard), 666 nucleotides long. The record is from the annotation of a RefSeq genome assembly. NCBI's taxonomy places the organism in Eukaryota, Metazoa, Chordata, Lepidosauria, Squamata, Cordylidae.